This 844-nucleotide ribosomal RNA is filed under the name uncultured bacterium. Its description in RNAcentral is "bacterial SSU rRNA". It matches the Rfam family "Bacterial small subunit ribosomal RNA", at positions 58 to 916 of the family's 1533-position model. The record is from RNAcentral.
CAAGUCGAACGAUGAAGUUCCUUCGGGAAUGGAUUAGUGGCGAACGGGUGAGGAACACGUGAGAAACCUGCCUUUCAUUUUGGGAUAACUCCGGGAAACCGGGGCUAAAACCGAAUACUCCGUCUUGGCGGCAUCGCUAAGCCGGGAAAAAAUUUUGAUGAAAGAUGGUCUCGCGGCCUAUCAGCUAGUUGGUGAGGUAAUGGCUCACCAAGGCGACGACGGGUAGCCGGCCUGAGAGGGCGACCGGCCACACUGGGACUGAGACACGGCCCAGACUCCUACGGGAGGCAGCAGUGGGGAAUAUUGGGCAAUGGGCGCAAGCCUGACCCAGCGACGCCGCGUGAGGGAUGAAGGCCUUCGGGUUGUAAACCUCUUUCAGUAGGGAAGAAGCGAAAGUGACGGUACCUAAAGAAGAGGCACCGGCUAACUAUGUGCCAGCAGCCGCGGUAAUACAUAGGGUGCAAGCGUUGUCCGGAAUUAUUGGGCGUAAAGAGCUCGUAGGUCGUUUGCCGCGUCGAUUGUGAAAAUCUGAGGCUCAACCUCAGACCUGCAGUCGAUACGGGCAAACUAGAGUGUGGUAGGGGAGACUGGAAUUCCUGGUGUAGCGGUGGAAUGCGCAGAUAUCAGGAGGAACACCAAUGGCGAAGGCAGGUCUCUGGGCCAUAACUGACACUGAGGAGCGAAAGCGCGGGGAGCGAACAGGAUUAGAUACCCUGGUAGUCCGCGCCGUAAACGAUGGGCACUAGCUGUGAGAGCCUUCCACGGUUCUCGCGACGCAGCAAACGCAUUAAGUGCCCCGCCUGGGGAGUACGAUCGCAGGAUUAAAACUCAAAGGAAUUGACGG